Long non-coding RNA from Ictalurus punctatus (channel catfish), 274 nucleotides. NCBI's taxonomy places the organism in Eukaryota, Metazoa, Chordata, Actinopteri, Siluriformes, Ictaluridae. The record is from Ensembl.
GUUAAUUAGACAUGGUGUCUGUUUUUCACUGUAAUCAAAUGUGCCUUCAUAGAGUUCGGAGUGUGUUCAGGAACAGUGACUGACACGGAAUAAAAUGGGAAUGGAUUAGGAUGGGUGUGGAAUAAGAUGAGCAUGGAUUAGGACUGGUAUGGAUUAGGAUGGGCAUGGAUUAGGAUGGGUGUGGAAUAGGAUGGGCAUGGAAUAGGAUGGGCAUGGAUUAGGAUGGUAUUUAUUAGGAUGGGCAUGGAAUAAUAUGGGCAUGGAUUAGGAUGGG